This 1561-nucleotide long non-coding RNA is filed under the name Paramuricea clavata. Lineage: Eukaryota; Metazoa; Cnidaria; Anthozoa; Malacalcyonacea; Plexauridae. The record is from RNAcentral.
CUACAUUUAAAGUUAUAGGAUUAACUGAAACAUGGCUAAAUGAUUAUAAUGAUGAUAGUUACAAACUACCGAAAUAUGAGUACAUCGGUUCAAACAGGACAAAUAAGAAAGGUGGGGGUGUUGGUAUAUAUGUUUCAAAACAACUGCAAUAUAAUAUUCGUAAUGACCUUAAAACAGAUAUAGAAGAUAUAAUUGAAACUAUUUUCAUUGAAAUAAGUAUAUCUACGGGCAAAAAUAUAAUUGUUGGAGUAAUUUACAGACCACCAAAUAAUAAAGUGGAAAUAUUUCAAAAUGCUGUCGAUGCGAUAAUAGGAAAAAUUGACAAAGAAAAUAAAGUCUGCUACAUCAUGGGUGAUUUUAACAUUGAUUUGCUUAAAUCCGAGUCUUGUGAUUAUGCGAAUCGAUUUACUGAGCAGUUUUUUACCUCUUCUUUUAUUCCCCUUACAACAAAGCCAACAAGAAUAACUUCUCAUAGUGCAACAUUAAUUGACAACAUCUUUACCAACAAUAUUGAUAAAAUUGAUCAAAGCUUUAACGGAAUUAUCUUUAGUGAUAUAUCAGACCAUUUACCUAUUGUUCACAUGUGUAACAUGGAUAAUAAUAACGAGUGUGAAAAGCAAACAACCAAUGAACCAAAUUAUACAAGAAUUUUUAACAAAAAAAAUAUUAACUGUUUCACUGAUGAAAUUAAAAACGUAUCUUGGAGCAAUGUACUUACUAAUGCAAAUCCUGAAAUUGCCUUCAAUGAAUUUUCUGAUUCAUUUAGAAAAAUUUACGAAACAAAUUUUCCCUUAACAAAAAUAUCGAGUAAAAGUAAUAUAAUCAAAAUCAAAAGUCCGUGGAUGACAAAUUGCAUGCUAAAUUCAAUAAAACAAAAAAACAAACUUUACAAAACCUAUUUGACAAAACCAUGCAAAAAGAAUGAAAUAAAAUACAAAAAAUACAAAAACAAACUAAACCAUACAAUUAAAAUUUCGAAAAAGAUGUAUUAUGAGGAACAACUAAUAAAGUAUAAACACAGCACAAAGAUGGUGUGGAAAACUCUAAAUGAAAUUCUUAACAAAAAAGCAAAAAAUAAAGAAUUACCUAGAACAUUUUUUGAUACUAGCACUUCUAAUACAAUUAAAAAUCCAGUAACUAUAGCUAAUAAAUUUAAUGAUUAUUUUACCAAUAUUGGACCAAAUUUGGCCAGGAAUAUAAAAAACAGCUCAGAAACAAAUUUUAAGAAAUAUCUUACUGGUAACUACAAAAAUAGCAUGUUCCUAGCACCAAUCACUGAAUUAGAACUAGAAACUGUACUUAAAAACAUGGAUUCUAACAAAAGUCCAGGAUAUGAUAACUUUAGUAAUAAGAUAAUAAAAUUAUCUGCAACAGAAAUUGCCAAACCAUUAACACACAUAUUUAAUUUAACAUUCGAGAAUGGGAUUAUUCCUGAAAAAUUGAAGCUUGCAAUAGUAACACCAAUCUUCAAAGCAAAUGAAAAUAAUAAAUUUGAAAAUUACAGACCAAUUUCAGUUCUCUCUUGCUUUUCUAAAUUACUUGAAAAACUCAUGUACAACAG